CUACGGGCGGCAGCAGUAAGGAAUAUUGGGCAAUGGACGCAAGUCUGACCCAGCCAUGCCGCGUGAAGGAUGAAUGUCCUAUGGAUUGUAAACUUCUUUUAUGCAGGAAAGAACUCCCGGUCGUGGACCGGGACUGAUGGUACUGUAUGAAUAAGCAUCGGCUAACUCCGUGCCAGCAGCCGCGGUAAUACGGAGGAUGCAAGCGUUAUCCGGAUUCAUUGGGUUUAAAGGGUGCGCAGGCGGAAUGAUAAGUCAGUGGUGAAAUCUCCCAGCUUAACUGGGAAACUGCCAUUGAUACUGUCAUUCUUGAGUACAGUUGAAGUGGGCGGAAUGUGUCAUGUAGCGGUGAAAUGCUUAGAUAUGACACAGAACACCGAUAGCGAAGGCAGCUCACUAAGCUGUAACUGACGCUCAUGCACGAAAGCGUGGGGAUCUAACAGGAUUAGAUACCCCCGUAGUC
This 460-nucleotide ribosomal RNA is filed under the name uncultured bacterium. Its description in RNAcentral is "partial 16S ribosomal RNA". It matches the Rfam family "Bacterial small subunit ribosomal RNA", at positions 339 to 795 of the family's 1533-position model. The record is from RNAcentral.